Molecule: ribosomal RNA, 476 nt
Filed under: uncultured bacterium
Lineage: Bacteria
Description: partial 16S ribosomal RNA
Rfam family: Bacterial small subunit ribosomal RNA
Source: RNAcentral
GAUGAACGCUAGCGGCAGGCCUAACACAUGCAAGUCGAGGGAGAAGCCUUUCGGGGCAGCAACCGGCGCACGGGUGCGUAACGCGUAUGCAACCUACCUUUCACAGGGGGAUAGCCCGAAGAAAUUUGGAUUAAUACCCCAUAAUAUUGUUGGAUGGCAUCAUCUGUUAAUUAAAACUGCGGUGGUGAAAGAUGGGCAUGCGUCCUAUUAGCUAGUUGGAGUGGUAACGGCACCCCAAGGCUACGAUAGGUAGGGGUCCUGAGAGGGAGAUCCCCCACACGGGUACUGAGACAGGGACCAGACUCCUACGGGAGGCAGCAGUGAGGAAUAUUGGUCAAUGGUCGGAAGACUGAACCAGCCAUGCCGCGUGCAGGAAGAAUGCCUUAUGGGUUGUAAACUGCUUUUAUAUGGGAAGAAUAAGGUGUACGUGUACAUUGAUGACGGUACCAUAUGAAUAAGCAUCGGCUAACUCCGUG